This 2358-nucleotide long non-coding RNA is filed under the name Cucumis sativus (cucumber). RNAcentral's name for it is "long non-coding RNA (CSAT_LNC000728)". Lineage: Eukaryota; Viridiplantae; Streptophyta; Magnoliopsida; Cucurbitales; Cucurbitaceae. The record is from RNAcentral.
UUGCGAGGUAUGAAGACGUGGCGGAAAUGGAAUGGUUUGAUAGGAAGAGGGAGAUUGGGUUUGGUGGUGAGAUGGGCCCAAGCAUGCAAGAAUUGUGAAGUCCCAACGCCGUCCGAUAAGCAAUGGUUUAUUCCGGUACAUAGGAUCAUCCCUCCGCAACCUAAAUUUGUCACCUGUCCAAAAUACCCCUCUUCAAUAACAACACAUUCCAACACUUCUAAACAAAAAAAAAAAAAUCGUCAAUUUUUAAAUUUUAAUUAUUUAAAAUAAUAUAUUCUUUUAUAUUUUUAUUAAAAAAUAUUCUUAAAAUGUAGAGUACAUUCAAGUAAAAAAUCAGUAAACUUUUAUAACAGUUAAUUAAAAAAAAAAAAAACAACAAAAGAAUCAUAAACAAAAAUAAUUUUAAUGGAUUAAAAACAUUUUGUAUCCUUUCAAACUCUACAUCUUUUAUAUAUUUAUUAGAUUAUGGUUAGAGUUUUCAUAUAUUGGUUUAUUGGAUUUAAAUACAUAUGCGUGUAUUUCUAAAAAAAAAAAAAGGUUUUAUACCAUUUUUGACAUGUAUAUAUUAGUUUCACUACUUUAAAUGAGGAUUUGAAAGUAGGCUUUAAACUCAAUAUAUAUAUAUAGGGUUUUGGAAUAUAUUAUUUUAAUGUGUUAGAUAAAAAAGGUGGUAGCCACAUAAUAGUAGCAUAUUGAAUGUGAUAUUUCAUGUGUUUGAAGAUGGUGAAAGGACAUUGGAGUGAUGGAUGGAAAAGAAACUUUGAUGUAUGUGGGGAAACAUAUUUUGGGAGGGACCAUGCACCCUUUAACUAUUUCAAAUCAGGUCGAAAUAUAUUUAGAGGUUAAAAUACCAUUUUACUCAUUUUAGCUUUAACUUUUUCAAUAAACUUAGUCUCUCCACUGUUACAGUUAUUUAUGAUUGAUUGAACAUAUUCAAAUUUAGUUUUUCUGCUUUGCUUAUAAAUAAGAAAAAGGGAGAAAAGAAAAGAAAAGGUAUGGAAAGGGAUAGAAAAAGAGAAAGGCAGAGAUAAAGCAAAGGCAGAGAAAAGCCAUUCUCUGAGUCCUCUCUACCACCCAAAAGCUGAGAUCGACCAUAACACAGACAUAUAUUAUAUAACCAAUACUCAUAUAUAUUUCAACUAUUUAUAAAGUGUGUUCUUUUAAUAACAAUAAAGUUCUCUCUUUUCUUUUUCCUAUAAAAGAAAAAGAAAGUAAUCUCUUUCUCUUCUUUUUUUUUUUUUUUUAAUAAAAAUAGUACUAAAAACAUUCCCCAUUUGAUUUAACGAUGGCAUUUUGUAUAUUUAAAGUUGAGAAUGUAAUCACACUACUUUUCAUUAUAUAAUAAUUACGAAGACGAAGAACGGAACAUUUAAGUUUUGAAGUAAAACGUUAUAUCAAUUAAUAUAAUACUUUCUAUUUUACCAUUACAUGAGCUAAAAAUAUAAUUUUUUCUUUAAGAACAAUUUGGUUUCAAAGUUUGAUUUAUAAUAAAGUAAACAUACACAAUUUGUUUUCAAUGACCCCAUAUUCUUUUAGAGGAAAAGUUAUAACUAACUAACCACACUAAAGUUUAAUAUUCGAUUGGGAUAACAAAAGAGUACUCCCUCCAAAUCGAACAUAACUCAGCGCAAAGUUUGUAAUUGGAAUGAAAGAAAGAAAUUAAUUACCUGAAUAAGGAGAGGAGGAAUAUCCAAGAAACCAAGAUUUUCAAAGCGAUACAGAAGCUUUCUCCAAGACCGAUUAGGCGUAUCCGCCAUUUGAAGAAACUCCUCCGCCGUCAAAUCCAUAAACCCCUCAGCAAAAACCGCUCCUUCCCCAUUACAAUCCACCUCAAGUUUCCGAUCAAACUCUAACGACGACCCUCCGCCUCCAGCGGACACCCUCAGACGUCCGGCAAAUGGGUAGUAAUGUUCGAGAAGAAUGGCCAGAGAACGCUUGAGAUUGCAUAAGCUCACACCCUUCUCGAAUAAGAACACGUACUUAAUCGCAAAUCUUAGAAAGCUCUGAUCGUCCAAAUUGGAGAGGUAUAACGAGUGUUUUGGGGUUGGAUUCGCCGGCCGGAUUACCACUGGUGGGCUUAGGUACCGGCAGUCCGGGAGGUCCGGGGAUUUUACCAUCAUAUUGUGCUGUGUGUUGAUCUUGUUAUUAUUGAUGUGAGAGAUUUAUGGGAGAGGGUGGAGGAAAGAGAGGUAAUUUGUAGAGUGGAGAGGAUGGAGGAAAGGGGUAAUUUGUAGAGGGGAGAAAAGGAAGUGAGAGAAAGUGCAAUGGUAGAAUUAUAAUUAAUAUAGUUUUUUUUUCGUACAUAUUUCAAUCAAACAUUCAUUUGAAUCCAAUACCUCUUAUACUUCAAUAUUUAAG